CAAGUGAUUUAUUCCCUUUAUUAUGUGCAGUCGAAGUGCUCGCGUUGCUUAGUGAUUUAUUCCCUUUAUUAUUUCCCAAGUGAUUUAUUCCCUUUAUUAUGUGCAGUCGAAGUGCUCGCGUUGCUGAAUCCCUAAAACAGUGCUCCUGCAGUCCGGCUGAUGUCGGUCAAAUUGAAUUCAACAUUCAACAUUCGCAGGCGCACUAGGUAAAGUUUCACAGAGUACAUCACAGUUUGUCAUUAAUACUCUUUUGGGUACCUCUAAAAUUCCCGUUUGCAUACUACACGCCACGGUACUCGUAAACGGUUUACCACGUCCGAGACGGUGUGGCCAGCGCCAGCUGCUAUUCGGCCGGUCUAUUAACUGCGCAAAUCGCCCAAUGACAGAAAGCAACGAAAAUAAAAAAGUAAUGGGGUUAGGGUAACCUGUGCAACCUGUUGGCCUCAACUACAUGAAAGUAGCACAAUGCAUAGCAAGUACGGAAAACAUUGGCAGGCUCGCAGGCAAUGAUGCUGACUUUUGGUAUUGGAAAGAUUCCGAUUCAUUUCUACAAAUGAAUGAUUUCUUGUGUCACAUUUGUUAUUUCCCAUCUGUAUUUCUCUUUGUGUAGAAGAAUUGCAAAGUUACAUUAAAGAAAGUGGAGGGGAAAUUGUUACAGGGAGAGUUUUGCAGCAUGUUAUGACAACAUUGUCUCCAACAGACUUUAAUAUAACAGUAAACGAUCCCGAUCAUGAUUUUUUUCGUGGCAACACUGUCUCUUUGUGUGAUACUGCAGUCGAAGUCCUCGCGUUCCUGAGGCUCUGAAAGUGAAAGCGUCGCUCCUGCAGUACUGCUGAUGUCGGUCAAGUUGAAUUCAACAUGGUGAAACCUAAUGAAAAGGGAAAGAACGCAUUGCAUUUACGAGAGAUAGAAACAGUUGUUACGAAAAGCCGGUUGUUGGAAGGAACGAGAAGCAAUUCUUUCCAACCUGUUCCAGAUGUUUUGUCUUUGAAGUCGUCAUCCCUAACUGAACGCGAAGAAGAACUUUCAAGGGGUUUUCUUAAGUAUAAAAAAGGUAAAUCAUUCUUAAAUGAUGCCCACCUGCAAGUCUAAUGAGAAAUGUUGUGUGUUGUUAUUCUUCUCAUGUUAUUCUUCUCACUGAAUAACCAAGUCCUGAAUAAAACACGAGACUGCUA
Molecule: long non-coding RNA, 1175 nt
Filed under: Daphnia magna
Lineage: Eukaryota; Metazoa; Arthropoda; Branchiopoda; Diplostraca; Daphniidae
Description: uncharacterized LOC123470996, transcript variant X2
Source: RNAcentral